GCUGGCAUGGUGUAGGGGGUUGAACACUGGACUAGGACUCCAGAGACCAGGGUUUGAAUCCCAGCUCAGCC
This is a non-coding RNA of Phrynosoma platyrhinos (Desert horned lizard), 71 nucleotides long. NCBI's taxonomy places the organism in Eukaryota, Metazoa, Chordata, Lepidosauria, Squamata, Phrynosomatidae. The record is from the annotation of a GenBank genome assembly.